GCUCUGGUGGCUUAGUUGGUUAAAGCGUCGGUCUCAUACCUGCAAGCCUCAAUUCACACAGGUGUACUACACAGACAUCUGAAGGUCGUAGAAUUCGACUCUCACCCAGAGCG
This is a non-coding RNA of Zopfochytrium polystomum, 113 nucleotides long. The record is from the annotation of a GenBank genome assembly. Lineage: Eukaryota; Fungi; Chytridiomycota; Chytridiomycetes; Chytridiales; Chytridiaceae.